This is a long non-coding RNA of Drosophila mojavensis, 704 nucleotides long. RefSeq lists it as uncharacterized. Lineage: Eukaryota; Metazoa; Arthropoda; Insecta; Diptera; Drosophilidae. The transcript has 3 exons. The record is from RefSeq and is a predicted model, not a curated record.
AUUGUGCGCGUGCGUACAAAAGCUAAAUAUCUCGAAAGUUCAGGCUCACCGCAAUAAUUGGAAAAGUUUUCAUUUGAACGCCCAUCAACGACACCAACAAGAACAAUGGGGCGUGUGACUACUACAACAACAACGUCGUCGUCGUCGUUCGUCGUCGUCGUCGGCGAAAAGUCAUCAAAAGGCUACUAAAGGUUGACGCAGCUCGUCCUGGCCAUUCUGUCCGAGGACAAGUUUUUGCGGCCAUUGCACGCUCAUGGAUUUGGCACGCAGCGGACCACGUAAAUGAAACGAAACGAAAACACUUUGCAGCUCCCACAGAGACAGCCAGCGAGCAAGUGCGAGGAGCAGGAGUGGGCGGCCCGGGCGAGUCUGAGCAGCUGGCUCAAUUGCAUUUGCCAUGCACUACCUCCAAGAUGGGUAUUAUGCGUAUUAUGACAGCAGCAGCAGCCGCCCAGUGAGCUCGCUCCGUCAUCAGAUGCUUGCAAACUGAAGGAGCUUAAGAUCGAACACGAUGCGAAGUGCAGCCAGGCACUCGCUCCAUUUAAACGAAGACUUAUGGCCAGCUGCUGAGCUCAAGGAACGAGUUACUAGAUUGAGCUAUACUACAUAUUAAUGGGAAAAUGCUAAAGCGUUAGAUGCCAGUGAUUUACUUUGAAUUUUGACUCUACGUCGAAUUGAACUUUUCAAUAAAUUAAUUAAUAAAA